GCCUGGGUAGCUCAGUGGUAGAGCAUCUGCCUUCAGCUCAGGUCGUGAUCCUGGGGUUGUGGGAUCGAGUCCUGCGUCGGGCU
Molecule: transfer RNA, 83 nt
Filed under: Canis lupus familiaris (dog)
Lineage: Eukaryota; Metazoa; Chordata; Mammalia; Carnivora; Canidae
Also listed under: 1 other name
Rfam family: tRNA
About the family: Transfer RNA (tRNA) molecules are approximately 80 nucleotides in length.
Source: Rfam by way of RNAcentral